AGACAGGGCCGGUGGAAGAGGAGUACUGGAGCGAGGGAACAAGACAGGCCCGGUGGAGGAGGAGUACUGGAGCGAGGGAACGAGACAGGCCGGUGGAGGAGGAGUGCCGGAGCGAGGGAACGAGACCGGCCCGGUGGAGGAGGCGCGCCGGAGCGAGGGAACGAGACAGGCCCAGUGGAGGAGGAGUGCCGGAGCGAGGGAACGAGACAGGCCCGGUGGAGGAGGAGUGCCGGAGCGAGGGAACGAGACAGGCCCGGUGGAGGAGGAGUGCCGGAGCGAGGGAACGAGACAGGCCCGGUGGAGGAGGAGUGCCGGAGCGAGGGAACGAGACAGGCCCGGUGGAGGAGGAGUGCCGGAGCGAGGGAACGAGACAGGCCCAGGGGAGGAGGAGUGCCGGAGCGAGGGAACGAGACAGGCCCGGUGGAGGAGGAGUGCCGGAGCGAGGGAACGAGACAGGCCCGGUGGAGGAGGAGUGCCGGAGCGAGGGAACGAGACAGGCCC
Molecule: long non-coding RNA, 501 nt
Organism: Gopherus flavomarginatus (Mexican gopher tortoise)
Lineage: Eukaryota; Metazoa; Chordata; Testudines; Testudinidae
Exons: 3
Source: RefSeq, a predicted model, not a curated record